Molecule: long non-coding RNA, 4942 nt
Organism: Taeniopygia guttata (zebra finch)
Lineage: Eukaryota; Metazoa; Chordata; Aves; Passeriformes; Estrildidae
Source: Ensembl
UUUUUUUUUUUUUUGCAACUUAUCUUAAAGCCCUGACCAUUAUUUCUAAUAUAGUGAUUAUAGAAUGUGAAAAGUUUGAGGUACCUCAUAUUUUUCAGUGGUAAUGUACUUGUCACUCCUUCAGAGACAAAGACCUUUGGAAACAGCAAGGAAAAUGGGGAAAAGAGAACUCUAGUCUAGAGUUAACCUUCUUGCAACCAAUCCUUUCAACUCAACUCACUCUCGUACGUAAUGCUUGGGGUAACACUACAAGGUGCACUGCCUGCAGGCCAGCACUGGCCCUGCCAGACCACAGAACAGAGACUUUCCAUUACAAGAUCCACAAAAAUUAUGAACCUUCAACAGCUCCUCCCUUUUCUCCCCUCUGUUCCCACCCAGGCCAUGCCAAGCCUCGCUUUACAAAGGGGAUGAUUCCUCAUCCCUCAUAUUUUCCACUGCAAGUUUCCACUAAUGAGCACAGUUACCCAGUUCUGAAGGAGGUCUCCUUUCUCAUUCAAGGAAAGGGAAUAAAAACCUCGAUAGUUGGUACAUUCUGCAUCCUUUUGAAACAUCUUACUUUACAUAAAUAUGUUAUUUCCAACCAACCCAUUUUUAUUGUUCAUUUAGAAUACAACCAGCUUUUUUAUUGCAAAAUAACACUUAUUGAGAAAUAGUCCUUUAGCAGAUUUCAUUCUUUCCCUAUUUUUCACCCAGCCCAAAUGCAUACACACAAUAAAUAAGCUAUAAUUUUGGUUCUAAAACAGCUGUCAUCUCAUAAAAACUUGCUGCUCACAAGCAAUGUUUGUUGCACAUUCAAUCCUAUAAGGAUAUAAUACACAUAAUUAUGCUAUUGUUAUUAAGGCAAUCAUAACAGAUACCAUAUGGACUUUAAAGUGGCUUUGAGAACCAUUUUUUAAUAAACGCAACAUCACUGACACAUUUUGGAAGAAAAAUCCAUUCCCUAAACUGCACACUAUUGGUAAUAUAUAUAGCCUACUCCUUUUGGGGUGUUUUUACACUGGAUGCAAUGAGAGUAACAAUACAACUCAUAGCUUCUAUUGAGAUCUCACUUUCAAAGGCUCUCCAGACUCACUGCACAUCAUGUUUUUAAUACAACAGUGACUGCAUGCCAGAAUUCAAUGCUCCUGCAAAUAUGCCAACUUGUAGCUACUUUCAAAAUGAGCUACUCACUAGGAAUUAGUGCCAGGGUAAAUCAAUGGCACAUUCAGCUAGAUGUCCCAGCUCUGCAAAAUGAAUUAUACGCUAUAUACAGUCCUUUUGUACAUGUCUGGUUUUUUUGUAUCUUUAUCAACGAAAGCUGAAAAGAGUAGAAAUGAAGUUCCAGAAGGCUGUAAAUUAUCCAGCAAAGGAUUAGCAGAACAGGAAGCAAUCUUGUCUACCUGCAUGUUUAAAUACUGGAUUCAUGUAUUAGAAUAAAUUCUACACUGCCUAAACCAUUUCACCCCUUCUCAAAAAACGCUGCUUUCUUUGGAUUGUUCCCACUGUGACACACACAGAGUGGUGGGAUGCUGGGAGCUGCACCAGCAGCCUACUAAUAGCUGAGUGCUGGGUUGCUGAGGAAAAAAAAAAUAAGUCACUUAAGUUGUAACAGCUAAUGGGUGGUAGAUAAUUGGGGGCAGCAAAACUGAACUUUUGAAUGCUCAAACACAAACCUGCUACUUGCUAGCUGCAGCUGGUAUGAACAUGACAGAAUCAAAAACUAGGAGGAGGAUCCCACGUGCUUCUGCACGUGGGACUGUUAGACUGGGAAAACAGGGAAGCAGAAAGAAGGAAGAGAAGAUGCUGGUUAGAUCCUGGAGUUCUGUCUCAUGUAUGGGGGCAGAUAUCAGGAGCUACUUGUGAACCUGACUUUCUGUCCCACCUCCUACAGCCAAGAUCAUCCUUGUGGAGAAGACCACAGAUCAUCCAACAGGCUAAAGUCUCUCAUCUGUUGGUUCUUAAAUAAACUGCAGUAUCCAGAGAUACUAUGUACAGUAGGGGUUUUGCUCCCAUGCUUUUAAAAAAUAAGUGUUUCACUCAUGACAUGGAGGUCAUCGCCAUUUCUUUAAAAAAAAAACAUACUGCCAAGUGCACACUUGACCAAUGUGCAAUGCUCUUAUUGCAAAAUCCAGUAAGCCUCAGGGCUGUCCACUCUUACGAACAGCAGGUAAAUUUUAGAAAUAAUUGAACCUUGUGGAGAUGUGUUUGUGAGGGAGGAGCCUUCUCCAGAAGGCUAAACAGCAAUUUGCAGAAGAAGUCUCAGCAGCCUGAUUGUGUCCCGUUUAUAAAACCUUCUUAUUCAGUACCUUUUCAUUCCCUUCAGACAUUCAAUCAAUUUUCCAUCCGCAUCUCAAAAGUAAGACCGACUCUACAAGUUGUGUGCAGUUGUUCCAUGUGUUAAUCAUCUCCUCCUACAGAACCAACUUCCUUUAUCUACUACAACCUCAGAGGAACAUGUCUAAUUCCACCUGACUUCACCAUUCAGUGAUAGUAUAUCAUAUUUAUUUUCAUAUGGAUUAUGCACAGUGCCUUCGGCGCUUAUACUAUGGGCAUUUUAUAAGUGUAAACUUGAUUGAUUGGUCACAAGACUGUUUUCGAUAGCUGUAAAAUGGAUUUGGCCCCCAGCCACGGUUUGCUCAGCAGAGAUAUACUUUAGGACUGAGAUAACUUCAACAAUUCAUAGCACAUAUGCUAAGAAAUGUUACAAACCCGUAUUUGUACGGUUGGCAUUAUACAUGCAUCACUAAACAUUUCUCAAUAGCAACGCGUACUACAACAUAUAAGAGAAUUCUGGCUGGAUAUUUAUCGGGAAAGAAGACUAAUGAAAAUGUGUUUUCAAUAAGUGGUGUGAAGUCAGCCCACUCUGUGCUGAUUAGAUGCAGUGGCAGUACAGAAACAGCCUUAUUCAGCAUAAUACGAAGCAAUCACCCGCUGUACACAGCCUUGAAUUGGGAGCUUCAUGCUUUAUGCUGAGUGACUAAAUGCAAAAAAAUCAAGAUGACUGCAUUAAUUGCCAUCUUCUUCUUGAAUGGCAAAAAGAAAUCCAACAUCUAACGCCACCUCUCCACCUGGAUUCUUUUAACACGGUUUUCUCAAGUGCGGUUCAAAAAACCCCCUUUGUAAGAUUAUCUCACUAUACUAACGUAAUUUUUAUCAAGGUACAAAGGUAUCACCCUUCUAGGAAGCCAUUGUUUUUAUAUAAACUAUGCAAGCUUGAUAUUAAGAUUUUUUCAUAUGCAGAAUUGUAUCUUCAUACCAUUUUAUGCUUCUCUUUCUUGUAAGUUGCAAAGGAGCCCUUGUGUAAGCUGGUAUUUCUAUUCUUGAAAUCUGGUCUUUUAGAGUCUUCAGUUUUGAAAGAAGUUGACUAUUUUCAAGCAGUUUAGAUAAAAAUAAGGUUUUCCUAAAUAGCCGUUAACUUUCUAGGGUUCUAGAGCUUCCCAGUACUGAACUGGGAACGACAAAGACUGUAACCAUUAAAGCCACCCUUGUAAUGGAUCAUCAACUAUGCUAUUUCUACACUACCUUCAAAUAAUAGUCAAACCAAUACAUUUCAUUAAAACAUGUAAUUCUUUUGUUCUGAUGUAUUUGCAAACUACUACCUGUAAAAAUGUGGAAGCAUUACAGCCACCUUGAUAUGCAUGGUCUGGGUUCUUACAAACAUUUGAGAAGGAAUUCAUUUUUAAUCUUUAUGCAUUGAAUAAUCCUUUCUAUACCAACUCACACAUACAACUUUAUUGCUAGUAUAAAGCAAAGCAUUUAAUUCAGAUAAGGACUAGGUAAGCAUUUUGGACAGUCUUACUUCUCUUUGCAAAAGCAUGGCUCCAGUCACAAACAGCAGGAAACUCUCUCAUUAGCCUCUAAACCUUGGACGUAGUAAUUUCACAAACCUCAGCCAAGCAGAAAGCAGCAUUUGUCCAUGCCAGAUACAAGCACUUCUUUCUAAAUAUCAUUUUAAGUCUGUUUUUCUUCUCUACAAUGAAAUAGGCCAGAUUUUUUUCUCCUGCAAUAAAAGCUAAAAUAAUUUUCAGGUACUGUCUCCAAAAAGCUCUGCUGGACACCACUGAAUCAGCAGCACUAAGGAAAAAACAGCUUUUUCCUCUUUGAGACAGUCCUGAUGUUAACUUAGAAAUAUUCUUACAGGCUGAUUCACUACAGCACCAAAGCAUAUGUUCACCUUUAGGAGUGCACAACUGACGUAAACUUAAAAGGCCCAUGUUAAUGGUUUGCUGGAUCAGGUCCUAGUCCACAGUUGGUUAUCCACUUAAUCUGUUGCUGAUCCUCUGUGUGCUCACAGGGACUUAGAAGAUGGCAUGGGAAAAUAGGAAUAAAAAGAUACAGAGACAAGAUGGACCAUAAUGAUAGUUCACUGAAUCAUCAAGAGUGUGGCUUUUCAACCACAGACAACUGUUAAAUCAAAUCAAAAUAGGGUUUGGGGAUCAAUGAAACCAUAUUGCUGGAAUCAUGCUGUUAACUGGCACCUGAACAUAAACUAACACAAUUAAGCUACCACAGCUCAGGCUACCAGUAAUGUUAAAUUUCACUCCUUGGACUGCAAAGCUUUUUUGACUGUCUUCUUUUUUACUUCCUUAAGUUAAGUUGAUUUUUAAGGCAAUCUGUUAAAGUCAGAAAGCAUAUUUUUCUCCCCUCAACAAAGAACAUCCUUAGUGGCAUGGAAAUGUCACUUUGCCAACAAUUAAAAAGGCCUGAUUUAUACAGUCUUUAGUAUCAGUGCAUGGGACAAUGAGAUGCUUCCAGAAAAUCACACAAUUAUGUAUUUUCUGUCUCCAGGGAAAACCACAGAGAUGUGGGCCAACACAGUUAUAUGUCAUUUACAAAAUGAAACAUGGCACUUGAUAAAGAAAGAAUAUCUUCUAGGUAGGAUGCUUGCUAAGUAGGUCCAAGCUGUCAAAGCAUCAAAGACAUCACCUUUUCCUUCUGUCACUCAGAGCACUGGCAACCCAUG